RNAcentral lists this ribosomal RNA (357 nucleotides) under uncultured bacterium. RNAcentral's name for it is "partial 16S ribosomal RNA". It matches the Rfam family "Bacterial small subunit ribosomal RNA", at positions 338 to 687 of the family's 1533-position model. The record is from RNAcentral.
CCUACGGGAGGCAGCAGUGGGGAAUAUUGCGCAAUGGGCGAAAGCCUGACGCAGCGACGCCGCGUGAGGGAUGAAGGUCUUCGGAUCGUAAACCUCUGUCAGCAGGGAAGAACGGUCACUGUGCUAAUCAGCAGUGAAUUGACGGUACCUGCAAAGGAAGCACCGGCUAACUCCGUGCCAGCAGCCGCGGUAAUACGGGGGGUGCGAGCGGUAAUCGGAAUUACUGGGUGCAAAGCGCUCGUAGGCGGUAUGUCAAGUGAAGGGUGAAAUCCCGGCGCUCAACGUGGGAACUGCCGUUGAAACGGGGGAGCUAGAGUUCGUGGAAGGCAGGCGGAAUGCGAGGUGAAGAGGUGAAAU